GACGUAGGAUGCAAGCGUUGUCCGGAUUUAUUGGGCGUAAAGAGUUCGUAGGUGGUUUGUUAAGUCUGAUGUUAAAGACUGGGGCUCAACCUCGGAAAUGCAUUGGAUACUGGCAGACUUGAGUGUGGUAGAGGCAAUCGGAAUUCCAGGUGUAGCGGUGAAAUGCGUAGAUAUCUGGAGGAACACCGGUGGCGAAGGCGGCUGCCUGGCCUGUAACUGACGCUGAGACGCGAAAGCGUGGGGAGCGAACCGG
RNAcentral lists this ribosomal RNA (253 nucleotides) under uncultured bacterium. RNAcentral describes it as "partial 16S ribosomal RNA". It matches the Rfam family "Bacterial small subunit ribosomal RNA", at positions 524 to 776 of the family's 1533-position model. The record is from RNAcentral.